RNAcentral lists this ribosomal RNA (428 nucleotides) under uncultured prokaryote. Its description in RNAcentral is "bacterial SSU rRNA". It matches the Rfam family "Bacterial small subunit ribosomal RNA", at positions 356 to 776 of the family's 1533-position model. The record is from RNAcentral. RNAcentral also lists the same sequence under 1 other name.
AGGGAAUAUUCGUCAAUGGGGGAAACCCUGAACGAGCAAUGCCGCGUGAGUGAUGACGGUCCUAUGGAUUGUAAAACUCUGUUAUUUGGGAAGAAUGUCUAAAAUAGGAAAUGAUUUUAGAGUGACGGUACCAAAUGAGAAAGCCCCGGCUAACUACGUGCCAGCAGCCGCGGUAAUACGUAGGGGGCGAGCGUUAUCCGGAUUCAUUGGGCGUAAAGCGUGUGUAGGCGGUUUAUUAAGUCUGUGGUCAAAUGCUAAAGCUUAACUUUAGUACGCCGUGGAAACUGGUAAACUUGAGUAGAGUAGAGGCAAGUGGAAUUCCUAGUGUAGCGGUGGAAUGCGUAGAUAUUAGGAGGAACACCAGUGGCGAAGGCGGCUUGCUGGGCUCUCACUGACGCUGAGACACGAAAGCGUGGGUAGCAAAUAGG